Molecule: ribosomal RNA, 253 nt
Filed under: uncultured bacterium
Lineage: Bacteria
Description: partial 16S ribosomal RNA
Rfam family: Bacterial small subunit ribosomal RNA
Source: RNAcentral
UACGAAGGGUGCAAGCGUUACUCGGAAUUACUGGGCGUAAAGCGUGCGUAGGUGGUUCGUUAAGUCUGUCGUGAAAGCCCCGGGCUCAACCUGGGAAUGGCGAUGGAUACUGGCGGGCUAGAGUGCGGUAGAGGAGAGUGGAAUUCCCGGUGUAGCAGUGAAAUGCGUAGAGAUCGGGAGGAACAUCAGUUGCGAAGGCGGCUCUCUAGUACGGUACUGACGCUGAGACGCGAAAGCGUGGGGAGCGAACAGG